CGGACGGGUGAGUAAUGCUUAGGAAUCUGCCCAGUAGUGGGGGACAACUCGAGGAAACUCGAGCUAAUACCGCAUACGCCCUAUGGGGGAAAGUGGAGGAUCUUCGGACUUCACGCUAUUGGAUGAGCCUAAGUCGGAUUAGCUUGUUGGUGAGGUAAAAGCUUACCAAGGCGACGAUCCGUAGCUGGUCUGAGAGGACGAUCAGCCACACUGGGACUGAGACACGGCCCAG
Molecule: ribosomal RNA, 232 nt
Filed under: uncultured bacterium
Lineage: Bacteria
Description: partial 16S ribosomal RNA
Rfam family: Bacterial small subunit ribosomal RNA
Source: RNAcentral